This 506-nucleotide ribosomal RNA is filed under the name uncultured bacterium. RNAcentral describes it as "partial 16S ribosomal RNA". It matches the Rfam family "Bacterial small subunit ribosomal RNA", at positions 30 to 523 of the family's 1533-position model. The record is from RNAcentral.
AUUGAACGCUGGCGGCAGGCCUAACACAUGCAAGUCGAACGGUAACAGGAAGCAGCUUGCUGCUCUGCUGACGAGUGGCGGACGGGUGAGUAAUGUCUGGGAAACUGCCUGAUGGAGGGGGAUAACUACUGGAAACGGUAGCUAAUACCGCAUAACGACGCAAGACCAAAGAGGGGGACCUUCGGGCCUCUUGCCAUCGGAUGUGCCCGGAUGGGAUUAGCUAGUAGGUGGGGUAACGGCUCACCUAGGCGACGAUCCCUAGCUGGUCUGAGAGGAUGGCCAGCCACACUGGAAAUGAGACACGGUCCAGACUCCUACGGGAGGCAGCAGUGGGGAAUAUUGCACAAUGGGCGCAGGCCUGAUGCAGCCAUGCCGCGUGUAUGAAGAAGGCCUUCGGAUUGUAAAGUACUUUCAGCGGGGAGGAAGGCGACAGGGUUAAUAACCCUGUCGAUUGACGUUACCCGCAGAAGAAGCACCGGCUAACUCCGUGCCAGCCGCCGCGGUAA